RNAcentral lists this ribosomal RNA (397 nucleotides) under uncultured bacterium. Its description in RNAcentral is "partial 16S ribosomal RNA". It matches the Rfam family "Bacterial small subunit ribosomal RNA", at positions 523 to 918 of the family's 1533-position model. The record is from RNAcentral.
AUACGUAGGUGGCAAGCGUUGUCGGGAUUUAUUGGGCGUAAAGCGAGCGCAGGCGGUUUCUUAAGUCUGAUGUGAAAGCCCCCGGCUCAACCGGGGAGGGUCAUUGGAAACUGGGAGACUUGAGUGCAGAAGAGGAGCGUGGAAUUCCAUGUGUAGCGGUGAAAUGCGUAGAUAUAUGGAGGAACACCAGUGGCGAAGGCGGCUCUCUGGUCUGUAACUGACGCUGAGGCUCGAAAGCGUGGGGAGCAAACAGGAUUAGAUACCCUGGUAGUCCACGCCGUAAACGAUGAGUGCUAAGUGUUGGAGGGUUUCCGCCCUUCAGUGCUGCAGCAAACGCAUUAAGCACUCCGCCUGGGGAGUACGACCGCAAGGUUGAAACUCAAAUGAAUUGACGGGG